This 322-nucleotide ribosomal RNA is filed under the name uncultured Sandonidae. RNAcentral describes it as "SSU rRNA". The stretch from base 62 to 322 matches the Rfam family "Eukaryotic small subunit ribosomal RNA", at positions 694 to 955 of the family's 1831-position model. Lineage: Eukaryota; Cercozoa; Glissomonadida; Viridiraptoridae. The record is from RNAcentral.
GAUUUCUGGCUUGAAACAUUUUGCCGGCCACGGUUUCGUGUGUUAGUGCUUGAUGUUCUGGCCAUCCUUCCAAUUGCUAUUCACUUCUCUUCAUUGAUUGGUGAGUGGUAUUGGAUCUUUUACUUUGAAAAAAUUAGAGUGUUUCAAGCAGGCUUUAUGCUAUGAAUACAUUAGCAUGGAAUAAUAAUUUAGGACUUCGGUUCUAUUUUGUUGGUUUCUAGGACUGAAGUAAUGAUUGAUAGGGAUAGUUGGGGGUGCUAGUAUUCAGCGGCCAGAGGUGAAAUUCUCGGAUUCGCUGAAGACUAACCUAUGCGAAAGCAUU